ACUGCAUCGCGGGACCCCUCGAGCGCCGCGGCCCGCGCCCCACUCUCUCCGCGUGCCCAGGGGCCCGGCAACCCCCGCGCGCCCCAGGGGUCUCCCAAGAAACCCCGCGCGUCCCAGGCCGCCCUGCGCGUCCCAAACCUCGACCCAGAACCCCUCACGAGCCCUAGGCCGCGUCCCAGGACACCCCGCGCGUCGGCCCUCGGGCGCCGCUGACUAGAACGCCAGCACCCUCGCGCCCCGGCUGUGGCGGGAAAAGCCCGCGCCGCCAGCCUGCCCUCAGUCCCGCGCUUCUGGCCCCGCUCACUUGACGAGUAGCGCGGGUCCGUGUUGGCGCCGUACCAGCCGGUGGCCGCGGCCGCCGCGCCGCCCCGCAUGCCGUCCGUGUAGGCGGGCAGCUCACCCAUGUUGCCCAGGCCGCCGUUGCAGUAGCUGCCCAUUGCGCUGUGCGGGAACUGCGAGACGCCGGGAGGCAUGUGGUCUCCUCGAUGGGGCUCAGGAUGUCGGACACAGAGAAGGGCGUCGUGUGCUUGGGGCUCAACGACAUGGCUCGGCGGACAGCCAGGCAACCUAACGGACACUUCCAAAUUAGCUCAAAGUAUCCAAAUCUAAAGAAGAGGGACAACACACACAGAUACUGGCUUACAGAGAUGCUGGCUUGUAAGUAUGCUGUUUCUACUCUCAGGCUAGAAACUGAACAAGAUAAAGUGUAUUUGCUAAAAACGUCUCAUAUUUAAUUUGCACCUUCAUUACCUCUAUCUUUUCUUUGUCCCCAUUCCCAGAAUCUGACUUACAGUUUAUUCUUCUGUCACUACUCUACUAUGAGAGAGGGAGGGAAAGAGAAAGAGACAGAGGGAGGGUAGGGGAAGGGAGAGAGGGGGAGGGAGGAAAAGAGGGAGGGAGGGGAAGAGAGAGAGAGAGAGAGAGAGAGAGAGAGAGAGAGAGAGAGAGAGAGAGAGUUCAAGUAUGUUUUUUGUAAUGGAUCUUUUUGGUGGUGUUGGGAAAAUAACCUGUUUAAGGGGUAUCAACAUUGAUGUGGAUGCAGAAAGAAGGUUAAAACAGCAGCUCAUCUUGAAAAAUGCAAACCCAUAAGCUAAUUUUUUUUAAAAAAAGUGUUGUCUCUUGGUAUACAAAUGUUCCUGCAUAACAAAGAACUUAAACUUUUUGAACUUACAGAAAGUGCCGAGCAAGACAAAAGACAAAGAAGUGUGCAGGCACCAGUAAAACUGGAAAACAUGGGGAUGAGAGGGAAACAAAGACACGUUUUAAAAGUUUUCCUGGAAACUGGAAAUGUUUCUUCUGCAAGAUUUUAUUGUGUCUAAAAACCAAAGAGUAACUACCAAAGUUUAACCUGGCAGCACGUGCCUUGAAGAUCUGAGCAGUUCAGCAUUAUCUUUUUCUUGGUUUCCUGUGGUUUGAAUGUCCUUGGUGGUUUUGUCUUAUUAUUUUAAUCAACAACUGUGUUCAUUUCAGUGUACUUUUGCAAAGAAUCUGCCUUUUGUAGGGAGAAAAAGACCUAUGAUCACUCGUGGAAAGAAAAGGACAACCAGAGUAGUGGUUAAUAUUUUAAAACACUGUGAGACAAAAUGCCAGCUUCUAGCAGUUGUUUACAGACAUCAGUUACUGCCUUAACAAGGUUAGUAUUGCUACAGUCUGACAUAAUGCUACUUUUACAGGUCUUUCCUGAACUUGAGACACUUGAGCUAGGUCACUUAUGCUGGAACUGCCUACUUAUAUUUCUUGAACUAAUGAUAUACAAAGAAGCCUUUACGGGGGAGGGCACUCAAAUGCUGGGAUCCUUUUACAGUGUGGGUUUUAAACUUUGUUUUGCUUUAAAUUGUAUUCUUUACUACUUACUAGAUUAAAAGCAACAGAAAGUAAUCUUAAACUUUAAACAAAGAUAAGUAUAGUUUUCAUAAUAUCUGUGAAUAUGAAAGUCUCUUGCAAGUCAUUUUAUGUUUCAAGUUUGGACACAUUUAAAAAUGAAACAAUUAUCAUAAACUUCAUGUUGAUGAGCUAUCCAAGCCAGAAAAAAUAGUUAUAGUUCUUUCAGAUGAUUUUGUUUUCAAGUUACACAUUUUAUCUUGUGACAUUUUAUUUGUAAAACUUCAGUGUGACAAUUUUAUAAGUGUUUAUACUAUAUUUUAUUCAGUUUAUCAGUGCACUCAGAUCUGGAGGUUUCCUACUAUAAGGUGAAAAUAUAAAACAAAACAGAAUUUCUGCCAAAAUUCACUUUCUGACUGCUUAGGAACAUCAUAGGCCAAGGAGAAUUCCUCUCCUGGACAUGAAAUGUUCUGAAAGGAAAAAAAAAUCUUAAAAUCUUCCACAUUUUCUUUUAUCAGUUAUUUGCAUCUUACCCUAGAAAUUUGACAUCUUUAAAAUGUUGUUAUUUGGAUGUGUGUAGAUGAGUUUGAUAAUAGACUCUGGAGAAUGUAUACAUGUACAUCUAAUGAUAAAAUAGUAUGAUACUCUGUUGAAGAUUUCCAUCAAACUCAUUUCAUCCAAUUAUUCUCUGCCCAAAUUGUGAAUGGAAGUUUCUAGUUAGUGAUUGUUAAACACCGUUGACUAUGUGUUGUGAAAAUGUAUUUCUCAGGAAUGCUUUCUUGUUAUUCCCUUCCCUUCUCUUAGCACUUAGCAGAAAGAAAGGAAAGAAAGAAACUCUUAAAGAGAAUACAGUAGUGAAAAGAGAUGGUUCUCCCUCUCCUACUCUAGUUUCCUUUCCCAUUUCCUCUCCUCACAACACUUGACAUUGUAUUCUGCUAGGAUUGGCUCCUGGUCUUGAAGUACAAUGCUACUUUACAUACAGGGGACAGCAUGGAUUUGGUUUUUUCCGUGCCUUGACUGUUUUCCAUAGUUCAGAUUUUUGUAGUUUCACACAUCACACAACACUGGAAACUUACUAAAACAGCUUAUAGCAGAAAAAGAAAAUUUUCCUAGACAAAAAGAUUCAGUAGGCUCAUCCCCCUCCUUUUUUUUAAAACAAAAAUUGACAUUUAUUGAAAAUCUCUGAUAUAUUAGUUAACUUUAGAAACAAAAAUUCCUGGCAAGAAGCUAAACUAAACUAAAAUACUAAAAUCAGAAGAAAGAGCCUUCCUUGUAAUUGGGAUUUACUGUUGUCAUGCAGCUCAGCCAGAGGGGCCUGGGAAAAGGGGAGUAACCUUGUGACAGACCCCCCUUUGAAUUAGAGUUCCAGCUAGAACCAAGAGGGAGAUUUUGUCUUUCUAUGGUGGCACAUAGAUUGUCACUAGCUCCUGAAUUUCUGCAUCAGGGUGACUGUUCUUGAAAAUAUUACUCUUCUGAAUAAUCAAGAAUAUAAGUGCUGUUUAGAAAUGAGACUUUUGCUGUACUUAGAAAUUGUUUGAAAUAGUUGUAAACUUAUUUGAUUAGUAAAAUUCUCAUGUUGGAGAAGUAGCUGUAAUAUAACAAUUGUGACCUUUUUUUAAUUGGAAAGAAAUAAAGAAUCAUGUCAAUAGCACUAGUUUUGUGCAGCAAAAUUUGAAUGUAUAAACAAAAUGCUAAGGAGACAAAA
Rattus norvegicus (Norway rat) is the source of this 3526-nucleotide non-coding RNA. The record is from RefSeq and is a predicted model, not a curated record. Lineage: Eukaryota; Metazoa; Chordata; Mammalia; Rodentia; Muridae.